UGCGCAUCACCUCUUGCUUGUCUAGAUCAGCCCGGACGUUGGCAUGUGUAGCGUAUUUUGUCGGGUUUCGAGAUCAAGAAUCGAUGUCCCUUUGUUGGUUGGUUUUCCGAGAAUCCUUGACCCUUGAUUUGUUACUUUCGCAUCGUUCGAUGCAUGUUUUCCGAGAAUCCUUGACCCUUGAUUUGUUACUUUCGCAUCGUUCGGUGCAUGUUUUCCGAGAAUCCUUGACCCUUGAUUUGUUACUUUCGCAUCGUUCGGUGCAUGUUUUCCGAGAAUCCUUGACCCUUGAUUUGUUACUUUCGCAUCGUUUGGUGCAUGUUUUCCGAGAAUCCUUGACCCUUGAUUUGUUACUUUCGCAUCGUUCGGUGCAUUCUGGGGGAUGUUUUGGCUUUUGGUGGCUUACUUGGCCUUUUGGCUGGGUUUGUUGCUAUUGGUCGGGCGUCUUUCGGGAAUGUCGACCGUGGAGGUGCAUGAGUGGUGUUUGGUUUGUUACGUGUGGAUGGCUGUUUGCUUGCGCAACAACGUUCACGCUGCAUACCUCUUCAGUUUUGUGGCAAGGCUUGGUUUGGCUUGUGCAUAUUGUGGGUUUCCUGUGUUGCAUACCUAGUUGAAGGAAAAGUGUGGGUUUUACGAUUUUCAUUUUCGUCUUGCGUCGUUCUUUCGGCAUGGGAUGAGCAAUGAAGCGAUCUUUAUGAUUCAUCGUGCUGUUGUGUUUGCAACAAUGAUGUGGCCUAUGAAGCAUCGUUUGGUCUCUUGUAUACGGAAGCUCAUUUGGGCUUGGGUCUUUAUAAGAUCUUCGUUAUGCCCUUGUUAAGCGUUCUCGCUUCUCCUAAACGAUUG
This 840-nucleotide unclassified non-coding RNA is filed under the name Centaurea kunkelii. RNAcentral describes it as "partial external transcribed spacer". Lineage: Eukaryota; Viridiplantae; Streptophyta; Magnoliopsida; Asterales; Asteraceae. The record is from RNAcentral.